CUUGCUCCUGCAGGUUAGCGGCGGACGGGUGAGUAACACGUGGGCAACCUACCUGUAAGACUGGGAUAACUUCGGGAAACCGGAGCUAAUACCGGAUGACAUAAAGGAACUCCUGUUCCUUUAUUGAAAGAUGGCUUCGGCUAUCACUUACAGAUGGGCCCGCGGCGCAUUAGCUAGUUGGUGAGGUAACGGCUCACCAAGGCGACGAUGCGUAGCCGACCUGAGAGGGUGAUCGGCCACACUGGGACUGAGACACGGCCCAGACUCCUACGGGAGGCAGCAGUAGGGAAUCUUCCGCAAUGGACGAAAGUCUGACGGAGCAACGCCGCGUGAACGAUGAAGGCCUUCGGGUCGUAAAGUUCUGUUGUUAGGGAAGAACAAGUGCUAGUUGAAUAAGCUGGCACCUUGACGGUACCUAACCAGAAAGCCACGGCUAACUACGUGCCAGCAGCCGCGGUAAUACGUAGGUGGCAAGCGUUGUCCGGAAUUAUUGGGCGUAAAGCGCGCGCAGGCGGUUUCUUAAGUCUGAUGUGAAAGCCCCCGGCUCAACCGGGGAGGGUCAUUGGAAACUGGGAAACUUGAGUGCAGAAGAGGAAAGUGGAAUUCCAAGUGUAGCGGUGAAAUGCGUAGAGAUUUGGAGGAACACCAGUGGCGAAGGCGACUUUCUGGUC
This 671-nucleotide ribosomal RNA is filed under the name Gottfriedia acidiceleris. RNAcentral's name for it is "bacterial SSU rRNA". It matches the Rfam family "Bacterial small subunit ribosomal RNA", at positions 74 to 734 of the family's 1533-position model. The record is from RNAcentral. Lineage: Bacteria; Bacillati; Bacillota; Bacilli; Caryophanales; Bacillaceae.